Molecule: long non-coding RNA, 31726 nt
Filed under: Salvia miltiorrhiza (redroot sage)
Lineage: Eukaryota; Viridiplantae; Streptophyta; Magnoliopsida; Lamiales; Lamiaceae
Description: long non-coding RNA (SMIL_LNC004946)
Source: RNAcentral
CAGUUCGGAUCCUCUGUCCCAAUUUCCUGUCCCACUUCGUGUCCCCAAAGCAAAACUACAGCGUUUUGAUUUAAAUUAAUUAUCUUUUCUUUUGUUAACAUUUCCACCGAUCGGCUCGGCUGGUUGAAGCCGCAAAUCAUCAUCUUCUUCUUCUUUCCUUCUCCAUCUAAAUCUCCUCUAUUCUCUCUCUUGGAAAAUUUCUCCCUCCACCGAAAAAUGGGGAUUUCAUAUUCUGAAUUUCUUCAAGGUAAACUAUUCGAUUGUGCCAAAGAGUUCACGAGAUUUAGCUAUGGGUUUCUUUUAUUUUCUAUAGUUCUUCGUGAAUUCUUAAUUAACAGAGCCUGAUAACAGAGUGUUGUGAUUGGCUAUAAUUUUUUGUUGUGAUUUUUCUGGCUCAAGUCAAGGAUUGGUUUCUUCAGCCCCUUUUUCUAUGUAUUUUUUGUGUUAUUGUGAUUCUUGAUUAAAUGAGAAUUAUUGUUGUGUUCCUGAAAAUUCCUUGUUUGUUAAUCGAAAAUUCUAAUGGCUGCCAAAGUAUGUAAAUUUAUCUAACAGUUGGUGGAUAUGAGUUAACCGACCCUUUUGAUAUUGAGACUCCCAUGGUUGGUCGAUAAGUGCAAAGUCUUACCUGCAAAAGUAUGUAAAAAUAAUAAACGCAAACUGGAUUCUUUCAAUUGAUAAUGAAACAAUUAAGUUAUAUAUGAUUUCGAUUUUUAUUUAUUUAUGUUCUUUUGAAUCAAAUUAAUUUUAGUAUAUGAUUUGGAUGAACUUGUUUCUUGAUUUAUGUGAUACUACAUUUGGAUAGAUCAAAUUAAUUUUUGUUGUAUAUAUGAUCUGUUGUUUUUUCAGAUUUUUAGUCUACCGAGAGACUUGUUGAUUGCUCAACAUAUUUGCAACUUGGGAACAUGAAAUAUUUUUGGCUGAAAAAUAAAGGAAGGAAAAGAGAAGGAAGGACAUGGAUAUGUUGAAGGCUGUUGAGGCUUAUCUUCACGCAAAUUCUGAUGCUUGAAAGCUCCAUACAUAAAGCUCUAUAUAUGUUGUUUUAUCUUGGUUUGUUGUUCAUUUUAAGUUAGCAUUGGACCUUGUAGGGUGUGAGUUAUAAGCAGUUGUGAUUUUCUAUUCAAAUAAAAGAGUGUUUCUUUGUAUCUUUUUGGUCUUGUGCAAGUAUAAAGUUGUUGGAUUUGUCUUUGAAAAAUGCCAAAAAGUUUGUUAAUUCGUGUCUUGAAUAUAUAUACUAGGAAAAAGAAAAGUUUGAUGUCAAUAGCAGCAUAUGUUACAGUUGAAAUUACAUCCUCUCUCAACAACAAUCAAGAAUGAUGGUAAAUAAAGAAAAAGAUGAAGUGAGGAAGAUGCCAUCCAAAAUCUCAAAUAUCUAAGUCAUCCAAGAAGCUCUGCAGCUCCUUCAACCCUUCGGUGGAGAUGCUCUGAUGCACUCUUCCGCGAGGAACGGCCAGAUUGGGCGGUGGCUCCGGCUGGAAACAGACCACGACCACGGAUAAAUUAUCCCCGCUCCUCUGCUUCAGAGCCUUGUCGACAAGAUCCUUGCUGCACAUCAAUGGGUCAUUGUGUUCCUGGAGUCUUCUACGGGCAAAAUGCAACGCGUUCUGGCUCAGGAACACGUCCCACAGGCUGUCACACCCUAUGACGAGAAACUCGUCUUCCUCCGUGAGCCUCGUGGUCAUGAGAUCAGGCUCCGAUGUAAGUGGUCCGCCAUCACCACCUUUCAGCCCUUCCAUGUGCCAGUCGCCCAAUGCACGAGCAAUGUUGAGCAGCCCGUUGAGAUACCCAUCGUAUACAUAACCUCCCGAGGCUUCUAUACAACGCAGCUGCCUCAAGCAAACGGGUUUAUGAUCUCUCGACAUCUCAAUUGCUUUGCCCCUUCGACACAGCAUUGCUCUGCAGUCUCCAGCAUUCACCACCACCAGUGGGCAUAUACUAGCAAUUGCAAGAUUAUGAUCAUUUCUCUAAGGAAUUUUCCAUCUCUAACAAAGUCACUACAUGCUGCAAAUUUGUAUGCAACCAACACUAUUUACUAUUGCAAUUUUAAUAACUGAUAGAGGAGGAGAGAGAUGAGAUCAGCUAAAGAAAAGAACAGAGAUGAACAGGGAAGCAACAUCUAGAGAUCAGUUUUGAACAAAAAUCUCAAUAUUUGUUUCAGCAUGUAAAAUGCAGCAGUCAGCAAGCGUGUAAAGUAGCAGAACAAUAACUUGUUAAUUUAUAUAUAAAAAAUCAAUCUUAAUUUACUGCCAAUUUACAGUUGAAACGAAUUUCACAAACAUUAUUAAUUUAACCAAUGAUUAAAUGGAUGUGAUAUUUGCCAGUUUUCAGUUCAUCAUCUUGAUGUGAAAAUUUUCAAUAUUCAGUUCAAAUUGAUAGAACAUAUGAUCUUAUUUAUUUAUACACCAUCUCACGUAUGUAUAUCGCCAGACUUCAUAUCCUAACAGUAUUUUCACUCAAUCAAGAAUCACAUUAACGCAAAAAUACAUAGAAAAUGGGCAGAAGAAAUAAUUUAUGUAUAGAUCAAGAGCCAGUGUACUUAGUUAAGAACUCACAUAAAAGAAAACUCACCCGUCGUCUUCAAGGUAAAAUGUUCGAUUGCAUCGAAAAUGGAUGUCGUGAUGUUCUUCACUCUAAAUCGGUUCUUCUGGAAAAAGAAAAUUAAUAAAAAUCGAGCAUGAAAGCUUUGUGGAGAAGAAGAAGAAAAGAAUGAAGCAAGAAAAAGAUUGAUUUUGAAUAUUCAUAACCAAAUCCCGUGCAGAAUAUGAAAUCCCCAUUUUUCGGUGGAGAGAGAAAUUUUCCAAGAGAGAAUAGAGGAGAUUUAGAUGGAAAAGGAAAGAAGAAGAAGAAGAUGACUUGCGGCUUCAACCAGCCGAGCCGAUCUGUGGGAGUGUUAACAAAAGAAAAAAUAGUUAAUUUAAAUCAAAACGCUGUAGUUUUGCUUUGGGGACACGAAGUGGGAUAGGAAAUUGGGACAGAGGAUCCGAACUGGGGACCAACCGUCACAUUCGUUUUUGGCCUUCGCUAAAAUUAGAUCCAUAGAUGGUAUGGAGAGAUACUUUUUAUUAUAUUAUUGUCAAGUUGAAUAGAUGAUAGCAUUUAUUAUAAUUAUAAAUGAAUAAAAGUAUUGUCCUAUCGUGACACAGUUUCGAAGAAAAACAGAGAAUGUAUGUGAAUCGUUGAAUUAUUAUUAUUUUGAUCACUGAAUUAUUAUAAGAAAUGUUUUGACAGAAAAGUGUUGGGUGUCUGUCUGUGUGUUGGCCCCUGCAGCAACAGUGAAGGCAGUUAUUUUCGUUUUUUCAAAUGCCUACAUAAAAAUAAAAUGAAUGUGCUUAAGAUUUAUGUAGAUUGUUGCGAAUGAUAUUUUAUUUCUUCGCUUGAGAAAAUUGUGGCAAUUGAAUUUUAAUUUCGUAGAUAUUGGAACCAUUUGUUUUCCCUUUAUAAAUUACUAUUUGUGCAUUGAUUUCCACGAUAAGAUAUACACCGCAUAUCAAUGCAAAAUUGAGGUGAUCUUGGAUGCACCCGAGUGUACCAUACAUCAGGGAUUGACCCGUAUCCAGAUUUUGACCCAUAUCUUGAUCCAAACCCGCAUUCUGACUCAAAUCGUGUAAAUGAUACUAUUCGAUUAUACAAAUGACACUGUUUGUAAUUGAUACUAUUAUGUUAUACAAAUGACACUGCGUAUAAAUGACACUAUAACAUUGUAAAUGACAAUGUGUAUAAUUGACGCUAUUCAUAAAUAUAAAUGACACUAUAAAAUUGUAAAUGACACUAUAAUAUUUUAAAUAACACUGUAAGAUUGAAAAUGAUACUAUAACAUUUUAAAUGUUACAUUGUCAUUUAUAUAAUUGAAUAAUGUCAAUUAUAAGUAGUGUUAUUUGUAUAACUUAAUAGUGUCAUUUAUACGAUUUGGGUCAGGAUGCGGGUUUGAAUUAACAUGCGAAUCAAGAUUUGGGUACAGGUCAACUCGGGUAUACGGUACAUCCGGGUGUACAGGAGAUUUUGGGUACAAAAUAAAAAAAAAAUACUCAUACAUGUUCAAUUUAAUUCAAAUAUUUUUUGUCGUUCGUAUGAGAAAAAUAUUAUUUAAAGUAUGUUUCAUUAGUCAAAUAAUGUACAUCAAACCAACACAAAACCGUGAGAAUUGUUGCGCAUAAGGAAAUAUAUAGAUAAUAUUGAGAAUCUGGGCUAGGGUGGAAUUGAGAAUUCUGAGAAACAAUCUUUUGAGCAUUUGAUGAACUGAUCAACCAUAAUUUUCAGCCAUGUUUUAAUUAGAAAAUUUUAAAUCUAAGAGAUAUAAUGAAAAAGAAACAAAAAGAAAGCAAGUUUAAGAAUCAAGAGAGAUGAUUUAAGGUGUGGAAAAUUUACUUAUAACCCAUAAUUAUUGAUAGAGGAAAUUAAACAACGACAAAAAAAAAUUCACAUAAUUUUCGAAAAUAAUUUUCGAUGGAAUCCCUAUACCCCAACGUGAUGUUGACGCAGCAACUCGGGGACGAUGAAUGACACCCGAUGAGGAUUGGUUGACUCGCCGUUACGUCGAUAGAUGAAUUCGUCUUGGAAUAAUCAAGAGGAAUUCGAAAACUCUCAUAAGAGAAUAAAACUCACAAAUUUGAUUGAUAAUAGGUGUAAUUUUCGUCCACCACAAAUAAACCGUAUAUAUAGGCAAAAACUAAACAUUGUCUAAUAAGGAAACAACUUUAAAUAAAACCCUAAUCAACCAAACAAGGCCCUUACUCAUAAUUUUCGAAAAUAACCCAAAAACUAAACUAUUGGGCUCUAAAAUAACAAAGCUGAAAAUAAAAUAAAUAAGGUCUUCCAACUUCGACCCAAAAUCAAAUACUUAAAUCAAAAGCAAACAUAAACAUGGGGCGCCAACUCCACCAUCUCCAAAUGACUUCUUCUUCAACUCUUGUGUCUUCAACGACGAACCUUGGGCUGCAUCACUAGGUUACGAAUCUCAAUCCUUCUUCAUCCCCGAAAAAUAAUACUAAUAAUAAUAAUAAUAAUAAUAAUAAUAAUAAUACUCCAUAUUCUAAAAACAUAGGUGUGAGGAUUAGCUAAAGAGUCUCAUUCAGUUUUCUGUCAACAUCGUCAAUAAUUACAUAACACUACAUUUGUAGUGAUUGUUCAACUUAUUUCGACCAACCGUCGAUUUUACAUGGGUUUAUUGGGGAUUUUAAUAGUAUAAGAGAAUUUUGAAUCAUAUUUAUUUUCAAAUUUUCGAGUCAUCUCAACUAAUAACCUAAAAACACGGUUCAUAAUUUGAGUUAAAUCAAUCACUCUCCUAUAUGCUAGUUCGUGCCUAAAAUAGGCAUAGGAAAAUUGUCGUCUAUUCAUCAUGUUAUCCUAUGAACAAGACAACGAAUUAAACCGCUCUUUAUAUUGGGGCCAUUAAUUAUAAGAUAAGUAUUUUAUUUUGGGAUAUAUUUUUCAAGGUUUAAAUUACAUGAGAAUGACUAUUUUCAUUAUAAAUGAAAAUAACGAAUAAGCUAGUAUUAUAUAAGGUUGAAUAAGGUGUUUGUAAUACAUGAAUAGUUGUAACUCAGUUAGUUUGUGAAUUUUUUGCCCCCUCUAAGAUUUGAACUGAUGUUGUUCUUAAAUAUGGUAAUCGAGAGAAGCUAGGUUGAGAAAGAACAACAUGAUAGAAAAUGUAGAGAGAAUUGAUAAUGUCUCUGAUAUAUUUCUUUAGAUUACAAUGCACCCUUUUAUAGUGUAAGGGUGAAUCAAAUGUCAAACUACAAUCUCUUAAAAUCAAAUACAAUCUCUUAAAAUCAAAAGCUAAAGAUUUUAUCGUUGAAUUAUUAUUCAUGAUCUUUGAAUAAUAAUCUUUUGACUUAUGCAGAUGGUUAUUUUCAACACUCCCCCUCAAGUUGAGUAAUGGCAUUUCCGAUACUUAACUUGUCCAGAACUUCUCUGAAGACUUUUGUGUUUACAGCCUUAGUCAAUAUGUCAGCCAAUUGUUCAUCCGAUCGUAUGAAAUGAAGUUCAAUGAUCCCACUAUCGAGACUUCUCUUUGAUGAAAUGCCGAUCGAUCUCCACGUGUUUGGUUCUGUCGUGUUGUACGGGAUUUUCAGAUAUACUAAUCGCAGCUUUAUUGUCACAGAAGAGCCGACUUCCCCUUCUUGGAGGAAAGCCAAUCUCUGUGAGCAAUCUCCGAAGCCACAGGAUUUCAGUUAUCCCACUUUUUACUCCUCUGAAUUCUGCCUCUGCACUUGAUAGGGCCACUACUUUCUGUUUUUUGCUUCUCCAUGUGACCAAGUUUCCUCCAACGAAGGUAAAAUAUCCGGCGGUAGAUUUCCUAUCAUUUGGGUUACUGGCCCAAUCUGCGUCUGUAAACCCGUCAACUUCCAAAUCUUCCUUUUUUUCAAGCAAAAUCCCAUAAUCAGUGGUUCCUUUCAGAUACCGGACAAUUCUCAAAGCUGCCUCCAUAUGCUCCUUCUGGGGUUUGUGCAUAAACUGACUUACUAUUCCAACUGCAUAUGUGAUGUCGGGCCGUGUAUGGGAGAGAUAGAUGAGUUUCCCAACAAGGCGCUGGUAUUUUCCUUGAUCUGUUAAGUCAGCUCCCUCAACAAUUGUUAAUCCAUGAUUUAUCACAAUCGGUGUUUCUGCAGGUUUACACUCGAGUAGCCCAGUUUCUGCAAGUAAGUCAAGGACAUACUUUCUUUGUCUCAGGAAGAUUCCCUUUUUCGACCUUAAAAUCUCAAUUCCAAGGAAGUACUUCAGAGAUCCAAGGUCUUUCAUUUCAAAUUCCAGGAACAAGUUUUUCUUCAGGUUUACUAUCUCUUCAACAUCGUCUCCUGUGAUAAUCAUGUCAUCAACAUAAAUGAUUAAACAUGUUACCUUUCCUUAGCUAAACAGAAUAAUGUAUGAUCAGAGUUACUCUGUUUAUAGCCAUUUUUUGCCAUAGCUAAACAGAAUCUCCCGAACCAUACUCUGGGCGAUUGCUUCAAUCCAUAGAGUGUCUUCUUUAGCCUGCACACUUGACCUGCCUCGAACUCUUCGGAAUAACCUGGAGGAACUUCCAUAUAUAUCUCUGCAUUGUCAUCCAAUUCUCCAUGUAGGAAGGCAUUAGUUACAUCCAACUGAUGCAAAGGCCAAUCCUUGCAUGCUGCUACUGAGAGAAGUGUUCUUACUGUGUUCAUCUUGGCCACUGGUGAGAAUGUUUCUUCAUAGUCUAUCCCGUAGGUCUGAGUGUAUCCUUUUGCAACCAACCUAGCUUUGUACCUCUCGAUUGAACCAUCUGCUCGCCUUUUGAUUGAAAAAACCCAUCUGCAUCCCACUGGCCUCUUUCCUUCUGGCAGCACACAUCUUUCCCAUGUCCCAUUCUUAAUUAGUGCAUCCAUUUCCUUCUUCAUGGCAUCCCUCCAAUGUUUAUGUCUCCUUGCCUCUUCUACUGUCUGGGGUACAUCCUCCUCUUCAUAAANGCCGAAAUAACUUUAAAGAUUGCUCUUAGAGACUAUAAAUUGAACUUGCCAUCUCAAGCAUCACACAGGUAGUUUAUUUAAAUAACCUGUGCACGCCAAAAACUAUAAAACAUCUCUACAAUAAUUAUAAACUUCAUAUGUGUCUGCAGACAUACUUCUUUGUACUAUACCAUAUCUGCAAUGAUAUCUGUGUGCCGAGAAGGUGGCCACCUUCUACGGUCACUGACCGGCCGAUACGCUAACCGGCUCACGGUCCUAGACCGGCCGAUACGCUAAACCAGCUCACGGACCUAGACCAGCCGAUACGCUAAACCGGCUCACGGUCCUAGGCCGGCCGAUAUGCUUGAUCGGCUCACGGUCCCUUGUGUACACUAAUCCUGUCUAACAUCUGGAUAGAACAGGAUCCGAAUUCGAUUAACUUCUGGUGCCAGAUAGGUAUCAUACAAGCUCAUAAAAGUUUUGGCAAGUCAAUAACUUUAAUAUAACUUCAUUCAUAAAUAACAUCAUAAAUAGUGGCACUUCAAUUUUGAGUUUAGAAAGCCCACCUGCUACGUUUAACGAUGUAGAAACUCUUGCUCACUUAUCUAGCAUUGCUACUGUCACCUUCAUAAUAGCAAUAUUCUAAAAUAAGAUUGGAUAACUAGAUAAGAAGAAUUAGUUAUAAAUAACAUCCCAAUAAACUUUUAAUCUUUUGCAAAGCUAGGGUUGAAUCAACUAAACUAACCAAUAUAUUAACUCUUAUGAACUUUAAGAAAAUAUAAACUAAUAUUCUAUCUUAUAGGAUUUCCUCUACUUGAGAAAGUUUAUAAGUAAACAAAUCCAUUUUAUAUAGAUUACCUUAUAAUUAAUAAUUAAAACAUCAAUUUAAGAAUUGACCAAUGACUUAAGCAUAAUUUUACUCAACUGUCCCAAGUAAGUAACUUCAAAUAUGUAAUCAUAUAUGAACCUCAACUUUGAAAAAUCAAAUAAAAUCAACCUCUUUAAAGAAAAAUACAAGCUUCACUUCUUUAGAAAGCUAUUAACGUCUAUAUUUCUCAGAAAUUUACAAAAACACAAUAUCUCAAGUGUAUAAGAAGUUAUAUGACCAAAGACAGAAUCUGCCACUGAACUCUGCUGCUCCGUGCAGGACAUUUCAGAAAAUAGUUUGACAUAUCUAUUGGUCUCGGAUUUAGCUGAAAUUUUGCAGAGAACGACUACACAUGAUGAAGUUAUUACAGUAAAAAUUUCAAGUUAUUUGGAUUACAAAAACAUCAUCAAAAGCACCCCGAAACAUACUGUUCUGUCCAACCCGAAAACUGACAGAAAUGCUUAUUGACAUAUCACUCAUAUUUUUCUCAAAUAAAAGCUAUAGGAACUCAAAUACAUCAUCUUAAUACACAUUAGCAUGCUUUAGCUUAAACUUAAUUCAUGUUCAACACAUCAACAUAUAGUAGCAUGCUUGAUAUCCUCCAAUUAUUAUCAUAUAAUCUCAUUUUACAGUUCAAGGAGUACAAUUACACAAGCAUCAAACAUGUGCUAGCUUAUUCCAUGAACUCCCAAAUCCACUUAAAACUAAACUAUUAGGGAAUCAUGUUUUCUUGUGAAUAAAUACCCAAAUAAAUCCCAAUCAAUUCUUCACAUACAUAUAGACAUGUAUACAUAGUCAAUUGAUACAAAUAUAAAGUGAACAGAUUAUAAGGUCAUGGGAAGAAGCUGAAAAUUAGGACUUUGGGGUAGGGGCCGUAGGGCUUCGAUUCCUGUCUUCAUAUUACUUAAUUCUAAGUAAUUACUAACUUAAAAACAUAGAACAUUUUGUUUAAUAUCUCACUUUAGGAAUCUUAGAGAGAAGUCACCUAUGCCUCGAUUAUUUUGGCAUGAACUCAGAAUUCACAAGCAACAUCAAACACUUUCUACAAUAACAAGUAGAAUACUAAACUUUUCGGCGACGAGGGACGUGACCCUGUUCAGUCGAGCCAAGACGACGAUGAUGACGGCAUCGCUUGCUGCCUCGGAGGGGAUCGUCUAGCAGCAGUAGCGGCGUCGUGAAUGGAGCGGCGCCGCUGAAUCGCCGGUCUUCCACAGACGGCAGAGGUGGCAGCCGAACCAUGACGGCGGGAGUAGAAAAGAAUUAGGGCUCGUUUUCCUUUCUCUCCUUAUCGAGCAUGGAUUCAAGGCAGAGACGGGCGAAGCUCAGCCGUUCGUUGGCCUUCCAGUCGCGACAGUAGUAAUUUCCUUCUUCUAAGAAUUAGGGCUCCACAUCGGAAAAGAAGGGGGAACGGAGAGGACUUCCGGUGCGAGAACUUCGACCACGUCGAAGAGGAGACUGCUGUAUUGCCGAAUUUUGGGCUCGGGUGACGACGAUUUCGGAUUUUGAAAUUAGGGCUUCUCAUUUGGGUUCUUCGCUAAAUUGAGAGAAGAUGAGAGUAGUGCGAGGGGCACCGGGGAAGAACAGACGGGACGCCGGACUUGGACUCGAUGGCAGCCGACGGCGGUCGGACCAGAGGCGGCGGCUGAAUCUCCUUGAAGGUUGAAAGCAAACUAAAACUGAGGUUCAAUCAAGAGGGAGGGGGAAGAAACAACGAACUGGCAGAGGAAAAGAAAUAAGGUGAAGGUUGGCUUCCUUCUUACGAUAUGUUGAUAGCUAUCUCAAAUAAAAUAAAUAAAUAUAACAUACUAUGGGUGUGUUUGAUAGCUGGAAUGAGAUAAGGGAUGAUAAAUAAAACUUAGAUAAAUAAUAUAGAUUGAAUGAGAUUAUUAAUAUUUUAUAGGUGUUUGAUAGUUAAAAUAGAAUUCUUGACAUAACUAAUUUUUUUGUUUGAUAGACAAUAUAUAACUUAAGAUUAAAUUAACAAAUUUUUCAAAAAAAAUUAAAUUAACAAAUUACAUUUUUAACCUUAAUUUAAGAAAUAUAAAAAAAAUUAGAAAAAAAGAACCAAAAAGGAAAAGCCAUUAACCCCCACCACUUUAUUGAUGAAAUGCCGAUCGAUCUCCACGUGUUUGGUUCUGUCGUGUUGUACGGGAUUUUCAGAUAUACUAAUCGCAGCUUUAUUGUCACAGAAGAGCCGACUUCCCCUUCUUGGAGGAAAGCCAAUUUCUGUGAGCAAUCUCCGAAGCCACAGGAUUUCAGUUAUCCCACUUUUUACUCCUCUGAAUUCUGCCUCUGCACUUGAUAGGGCCACUACUUUCUGUUUUUUUUUGCUUCUCCAUGUGACCAAGUUUCCUCCAACGAAGGUAAAAUAUCCGGCGGUAGAUUUCCUAUCAUUUGGGUUACUGGCCCAAUCUGCGUCUGUAAACCCGUCAACUUCCAAAUCUUCCUUUUUUUCAAGCAAAAUCCCAUAAUCAGUGGUUCCUUUCAGAUACCGGACAAUUCUCAAAGCUGCCUCCAUAUGCUCCUUCUGGGGUUUGUGCAUAAACUGACUUACUAUUCCAACUGCAUAUGUGAUGUCGGGCCGUGUAUGGGAGAGAUAGAUGAGUUUCCCAACAAGGCGCUGGUAUUUUCCUUGAUCUGUUAAGUCAGCUCCCUCAACAAUUGUUAAUCCAUGAUUUAUCACAAUCGGUGUUUCUGCAGGUUUACACUCGAAUAGCCCAGUUUCUGCAAGUAGUCAAGGACAUACUUCUUGUCUCAGGAAGAUUCCCUUUUUCGACCUUAAAAUCUCAAUUCCAAGGAAGUACUUCAGAGAUCCAAGGUCUUUCAUUUCAAAUUCCAGGAACAAGUUUUUCUUCAGGUUUACUAUCUCUUCAACAUCGUCUCCUGUGAUAAUCAUGUCAUCAACAUAAAUGAUUAAACAUGUUACCUUUCCUUCUCUUCGUUUCACGAAUAAUGUAUGAUCAGAGUUACUCUGUUUAUAGCCAUUUUUUUCCAUAGCUAAACAGAAUCUCCCGAACCAUACUCUGGGCGAUUGCUUCAAUCCAUAGAGUGUCUUCUUUAGCCUGCACACUUGACCUUGCAUCGAACUCUUCGGAAUAACCUGGGGGGAACUUCCAUAUACUAUCUCUGCAUUGUCAUCCAAUUCUCCAUGUAGGAAGGCAUUAGUUACAUCCAACUGAUGCAAAGGCCAAUCCUUGCAUGCUGCUACUGAGAAAGUGUUCUUACUGUGUUCAUCUUGGCCACUGGUGAGAAUGUUUCUUCAUAGUCUAUCCCGUAGGUCUGAGUGUAUCCUUUUGCAACCAACCUAGCUUUGUACCUCUCGAUUGAACCAUCUGCUCGCCUUUUGAUUGAAAAAACCCAUCUGCAUCCCACUGGCCUCUUUCCUUCUGGCAGCACACAUCUUUCCCAUGUCCCAUUCUUAAUUAGUGCAUCCAUUUCCUUCUUCAUGGCAUCCCUCCAAUGUUUAUGUCUCCUUGCCUCUUCUACUGUCUGGGGUACAUCCUCCUCUUCAUAAAGAGCUGCUUCAAAGGCCCGUGCCAUCUCUGUGAGUUGUCCUUGGGCAAGGUUGGCAAUCGAGUACCUAGUCUUCCGUCCCUGCCAGUCUGGAGAGUAUCGCUUUGGUGGUUUUCCCCUUGUACUUCGGGGAGGCAAUGUGUACUGAUUUGUGGCACCUGCCAACUCAGUACGUUCAUCAUCUUCAUCCGUAUCCCUUCCAGUUUCUGUGUCAGUGUCUUCAUCCCUCUGUUCCUCAAUGUUAGUAUUAACUUGAGAACUAUUGAGAUUACUUACCUCAGGAUUUGAAGAUGGGGUUGAUAGUGGGAUCGACUCGCUGGACAUCUCGAACUGAACCUGUGUUGUAGAUGUCUCGGCGGGUGUGCUAACCUUCUCUGUUGGACCAACGUCUGGCACAGAACUUGGCAAUGACACUGAGCUAGUUUGAGACGGAUGAGAAGGUAGGGAAGGAAGGGUUGUUUGGACAGUGGAUGGUGUAUGGAGCCAACUUAGGGAGUCGACAAUCUCAUUUUUCUCCCCCUGACUCCCAUGUUGGCGGAAAAAAUAUUCUGUUUCAACGAAAUCACAGUUUAAGGUAGUGUAUAGGUGAUUAGCUACAGGAUCAUAACAUCUAUACCCCUUCUGAUUUUUGUUUGAUUGUCAUGGCUUGUCGGUGCAGAUCAUAGAUUUGGAAUGGAUCAGAUCCACUUCCAUAAGUGAUUGCCAAUCCUUCCCAUAGAUCAGCGGCGGUUGCGUACUGUGAUACCUCAUUCACAAGUCCGGUUUCGAUAUUGUUGAUCACCCAAUUGAAAACGCAGUUAUCCCGUUGCUCCCAUCUCGUGUAGCUGGGAUCGUCAAUUGCGGGUGGUUUUGAAACUCCAUUAAUGUGAGAUGUCAAACCUUUUCCCGCAAUUGCCCGUUUCAUGAGGUUAACCCAUAAUGGGUAAUUCUCCCCAUUGAGUUUCGCCUUGAUGGAAAUCUCUCCAAAAGAUUCAAGUUGGUCGUGGUUUGGUGGUUUAUGGGCCGAUGAAUCUGGAAUUCUGAGGCUUUGUUUGAGGAAUUCUGCAAAUUGUGCAGCAAAUUCCAUCGGGAAAUUUGGUGGGGUGUGGCUAGUUUUUUCUGUGUCUGAAGUUUCUUGUUCUGACAUGGUUUGAUUUGAUGUUGAGCAAAUUUGUAGGGGAGGAAAAAAUAUACAGUGCUGAACAGUAACUUGAACAGUAACUGCCACGUCACAGUAAUUUGAACAGUAACUGCCACGUCACCUUGAACAGUACUGCCACGUCACCUUGAACAGUAACUGCCACGUCACCUUGAACAGUAACUGCCACGUCACCUUGAACAGUCACUUGAACAGUACUUGAACAGUACUUUACUAUUCACCUUCUCUCCCAUUAUCAGCUCUAAGGAUUUGAAUAUUUUUCUUGUAUUGUGUUUGUACUAGAUUAUAGAAGUGGGUGAACUUUUCAAAAACUUCACUUUUGGAUUUUAAGAAAUAUACCCACGUCAUUCUAGAACAAUCGUCAACAAAUAACAAAAAAUAUCUAAACCCAUUAUCACUAGUAACCGGAGCUGGACCCCAAACAUCAGAGUGAAGUAAAGAGAAAACUGACUUCACACGAGUAUUAUUAAGUUUAAAACUGUGACGAUGGCUCUUAGCCAGAAAACAUGUCUCACAGUUCAAAGGGUGUGAAGUAAUAAGGUUUGGAUAAAUUAACCUUAAAUAUCCUAUGGAUGGGUGUCCUAACCGCCUAUGCCAAAGCCAAGUCUGUUCCUCUGUCAGUCCUUGAGUUAGCAUCACAGCACCCUGUUGAGCCAUCCUAUCCACAUAGUAGAGUCCUCGAUAUUCAGUGCCACGCCCAACUAUCUUCCCCGUCCUCGUAUCCUGUAAAAUGCAGAAGCCAGGCUGCAUUAGUAAGUUACAGUGUAAUUCUCUCGUUACGUGGCUAACAGACACCAAUUUGUGGGAUAAAGACGGGAUAUAUAAGCAGUUUGGAAGACAUAAUUCAGAGGAUAAUUUAAUAGUUCCAGCUCCUUCUACAUAUGCCAAAUUUCCACUAGCAGUUUUAACAUAUUUUUUCUGGGUUAGGAAAAAUUUCCAUAAAUCCGAGGCAUCAAAGGACAUAGUAUCUGUGGCUCCACAAUCAAAAUCCAAUGGUAGUCUUUAUCUGGUGUUCCAGAAUUAGAGGAAGAUAAUGCUAAGGCCUGAACAAAAUAAGAGCUGUGAAUGAGUGAGGGGUUUAAAAGGUAUAACCCCUCAUUACCUUCCCCUUUGUGAACCCUAGCCGCCAGGGCACCUCCUCUCUCCUCGUUAAUGCGCGUCUGUGGCGGUGGUCGUCUGACGUUGCCUGCCGGAGUUCCGGCGUUGGCGGCUCGUGUAUCACCGCCUGACCACGCCCCGCCAGUCGUUGCAGCAGACACGAUUGACGUCGGUCUUGUGCCGCUGACCGCCACCGUCGCUUGUCCAUUCGGACUCCACGGUUGAUUCCGAUUUUUGGACGUAGCUCUUGAUUUCUUCAUUUCGUCCCACCAUUCGGGAAAUCCGAUGAGUAAGAAACAUCCCUCCUUGGUAUGUUUUUUACCUCCACAGUGUGUGCAAACGAGUUUGCUCUUGUCGAUUUCCCCUUUCCUGUUGUUCCAGGUUUGAUUUCCUUGCUGUGGUCGAUUGGAGAGCGGUGGUGGUCGGCUGUGGUUGACCGCGGCGAGUCCGGACCCGAUUCCUACGGUCGGCGAUUCAGAGGAUUUGAGGAUAUCCUCGUUUGUGGCCUGCCUUCGUACCAGUCCGUAGGCUCUUCGAACAGUUGGUAAUGGAUCCUUGUCCAUAAUCUCCCUCUUGAUAUUAGCAUAUUUGUCAUCCAAUGCACUUAGAAAUUGAUAGAGGCGAUGGCGCUCCUCCCUCUUCUGAUAUCCCUCUAUGACACUAGAAGGGUUGUGGAUCAAAAUGCAGGACUUAUGGAUCUCGAUUGAUACCAGAGAUCCGAGUCCGACAGACAUACAGGACUUAGGGAAAUUUGGUGGGGUGUGGCUAGUUUUUUCUGUGUCUGAAGUUUCUUGUUCUGACAUGGUUUGAUUUGAUGUUGAGCAAAUUUGUAGGGGAGUAUGUAAAUUCCAAGAUGCAAAACUUCUUCACUGAAAAAGGUCUUGUCCACCAAACAACAUGUCCUUACACACCUGAACAGAAUGGGGUAGCUGAACGGAAAAAUAGGAUCAUUUUAGAGAUGACUAGAGCCCUUAUCAUCGACUCCCAAGUCCCUAAAUCUUACUGGCCCGAAGCCGUAGCUACCUCUGUUUACCUCUUGAAUCGACUGCCAACUCAUAUCCUAAACUUUAAACCACCCCUUGAGUUCCUAGCUACUCGCUCUGAUACCAUCUUAGGGUUCUUUUUGGUGGUUAACCUGCUCUGAUACCAUCUUAAAUAUGGUAAUCGAGAGAAGCUAGGUUGAGAAAGAACAACAUGAUAGAAAAUGUAGAGAGAAUUGAUAAUGUCUCUGAUAUAUUUCUUUAGAUUACAAUGCACCCUUUUAUAGUGUAAGGGUGAAUCAAAUGUCAAACUACAAUCUCUUAAAAUCAAAUACAAUCUCUUAAAAUCAAAAGCUAAAGAUUUUAUCGUUGAAUUAUUAUUCAUGAUCUUUGAAUAAUAAUCUUUGACUUAUGCAGAUGGUUAUUUUCAACAGUUGUAACAUCCCGAUAAUUUAGAUUUAUUUUAUAAGUUUAAUUAAUAGUAUUUUCUUGUAUAACUUUUUUUUAAAUAAUUACAUGAUACAUAUAGAUAUGCACCAUUAAUUUUAGCUAGACUAUUAUUAUUAUUAUUAUUAUUAUUAUUAUUAUUUUUGUUUCCUAUUAGAACUAGAACUCUUUAAAGACUAGUAUAAAUAUGAAAUCAAUUUACAAACCCUAAAGGAGACAUAGAAACUCGAAGCCAACAGUAAAUUUUUAGUCGGGUUUUGGAGAGCUGUGGGGCGCAGGAAACGUGAGGAGCUGGAGUCAGAUUUUCGCAGGAAAUCAAGUUCUGGCAGUUUCGGGAGAACGGCCAUAACUUCCUCCACAGAACUCCGAUUCAGCCGAAACAGGCGGCCACGGAAAGCUCUCUCGAAGACGAAGAAGUCGUAUUUCUGAGCGAAAUACGAUCUGAGGACGUUUGAGGCUUCAAACGAAGGCUUGAAGCUGACUGGUCUGUUCAGCUGCGAGUUUGACGAAAACUUUAGAAAUUUCAAGAGUUCAUAUAGGGAUGCGUUGGUAGAAAUCAUCAAAGGGAGUUAUCAAUUUCAAGAAUUAGGUGAGGGAUUAUAUGCUUGUGGUUAUAUUCAUGUAUGUUUUUAUAUGCUCUUAGUUCAUGUUUGAUUAUACUUGCUCAGCCAAGUAGAAAUAGAUGCGCAGAAUAUCAUGUUCAAGUACAUGAUCAGAACGCAGAAUAUCAUGUUCAAGUACAUGAUCAGAAACGCAGAAUAUCAUGUUCAAGUACAUGAUCAGAAACGCAGAAUAUCAUGUUCAAGUACAUGAUCAGAACGCAGAAUAUCAUGUUCAAGUACAUGAUCAGAAACGCAGAAUAUCAUGUUCAAGUACAUGAUCAGAAACGCAGAAUAUCAUGUUCAAGUACAUGAUCAUAAAUUCAGAAACAUUCAGAAUUAAGUAUAUGUGUAUGACAAUGUGAAUUAUUUGCAUGUUUAAGCGUAUGUGAAUAUGUGCAUGGUUUCUCACUGAGUAUAUUUUCAAUAUGCUCACCCCUUAUCUUCUCAGUUUUGCAGUUAUGGAGUUGAGGUGGCCAUGGAAGUUGAGAAUGACUAGAGAUUUAGUUUUCCCAUAGAAUUUAAGUUGAACUUGUUAAGUUUUAGUUUAUCGUUCUUAUUGUAUGUUACUACUUUAGUAUUGGCAAAUUGAUUUUUAAAUUAGUUUAAAUUAUGAAAGUCAAGAAAUUUUAUUUUUAACUAUUAGUCCUUCAAGUUUUUUGUUUGAAAAGUUUAUGAAAAUUGGGGUGUUACAGAUGUUGGAAUGAUUAUUGUUGGAAAUCCUUGACAUCAUCUAAUGAUACGCAGCGGAAAUAACAGUCAAGGAAAAGAUCUAGAUUUAUAAUUGAAUCAUGUGUAGAGAUUACAAACACACAACAACAGUUAGAAUAACUUACUUGUUGUGUAGCAAACAAUCCUGUAGCAAUUCUUCUAGUAAUCCUGCAAUUGAAUCCACUACUAUGGUAUCCACGCAUAUUGCAGAUUCGAUGCAGGAACAAUUCCCGAUGCACAAUUCAAUCUUCGAAAGCUAGGAAAUCUCCGAUUGAAUUCUAUAGUGCUCUAAGUGUUUUCUCUCUUAUGAUUUUACGUAUCUUACAUGUGUUCAUCUUUUUAGACAAAAGAAAUAUAUUCCUAUUCUUAUAGGAAUAAGACACGCCUGUAAACCCUAGGUUAAACAGGCCGGGCUUUUCUUUUGCCUCCAAUUAAUUAAUCCAAUAGUCAAACUAUUUACUAAUUAAUUAAAGCUUAUUAGAAUAUAUCAAAUAUAUCCUAAUCUAGUCCAUAUAUCUUUCAAUUAUUCGUGCAUUACAAUCAAUGUUUAUUCAUAUAAAUUUUUAUUUUCACUGGAUCAUUUCUCUAAUUUUCAAUACCCAAUCAUAUUUCAGUAUGAUGAGGUAAAUUCCUAAUCGCAAAUUUAGAUUUAUCUAGUGAAUCCUACAUAUUACAUAGAAGAGGUCAAUAAAAUUGUUGACAGUCAUAUAUUACCAAGUCUAUGAUAUUAUUGAUCAAAAAGAAUGUUGAACACCACAGAAUAUAAAGUGAAUGCAUCAAGACUUCCUAUUGUUUCUUGAUAUGAUCAUGACUUAAUUUUUAAAUCAUUUUGCACGUGAUAUAUUUUAUUAUUUGAGGUGAUCGAGAAAGUAAUUGAAGUGAAGACGAUGGAGAUUGGAUAACGAGAUACAUCUCCUUACGCAUAAAUAAUUCGAAUUAAAUGCUGCCGCGUGUGAUGCAACGAAAUUUGAUUGUUUUGUGAUGUGCAGAAUAGUUUGUGUAUCGUUUUGAACCAUAUUUUUAUCACAAGACAUAUCUACCAAAACUAUGGUUGUUGCCGGUUGGUACUACCAAAUUUAGAGGGUGCUGGCGGAUCCGGGGGGACUAGGGGGGGCUGAAGCCCCCUCCCAACUUUUAAGGUAUAAAUAAGAAAUACAUGAAAAAAAUAUAAUACAUUGAUUUGUUACAUUUAUGUUAUUUGUAUCCUAUUUUUCUUUCUUAUUUAAUUUUUAAUGUUGAAUUUGAGUGAAUUCUCAAGUUAAAAGUAAAAUUACGAUUAUUAAUAAUGAAAAUUAGUUUAUUUGUUUAGAAGAUGAAACAUUUUUUUUUAAAUGCAUAAAAGUAUGUCUUUAUAUGCUUUCAAUCUACUUGAUGUUGAAUUAAUUGAAUUGCGAACAAUUAUCUAUUAUAUUAAUGGAUGAAAAUGAAGUGUACGGAAUGCUAAAAAAAAAUUGUAGCCCCCGAACCUUUGUGUAAAUAUUUUCAACCGCCGAAGUUCAAUAAAUUCAGCCCCUCCUAACGUUAAAUCCUGGAUCCAUCCCUGAUGCUGGGUAGUUUCAACGUCCUCGGUCAUUUUUUUAAAUUUUAUAUUUAUUUCACCAAACUGUUUUUAAUUAGUUUACCAUUCCUCUGAUUUGGAACUUUUUUUAUUUUAGCUCCUAAAUUAAUUUUCUGUAUCCGUCAUAAUUAAGUGGGUUAAUUCUACACUUUUGCCUUGUUUAUUUUUGUGGAUUGCAAUGGAUAAAACUUAUCCAACACUUAUUUUUAUUGAAAUUAAAUUGGGUUUGAAGUUGGUAUGAAGCAUUUAAAUUUAAAUCCAUCACUCCCAUAUUAUGCAUUGCAAGGGAGUAGUAGAGUUGAGUGUAUCUUGAAUCCACUAUGAUUUGGGCCCAAAUCCCCCAAUCUAAAAACCAUCUCACUUCAUUAUCCCUUUCAAAAGGUGGAAAGAAAAAAAGAAAAGGAAAUUCUAUGACUAUGAGUGCACAUACAUAUAUAUAUUUUUAAAGUUAAGGAAGGAAAAAGUGAAUAUACAUAUAUAACUAUAGAAGGGAUUAUUGAUCUAGCUCUAGCACACUAUCUUUUGUGUUUUGAUAUCUAUACUAUUCAAAUUUUGAGGUGGUACUCGUUUUCCACUGUAUGGAGUAGCAACUUCUUCUCUUAAGCCUUCCUCUUUGAUGCGACACUGUUGAUAGUACUUAAACGCAACGAAUAACAGAAAAACCGACCAAAUUCGAGCAACAACUGAAGACAAAUUCCAGACAAGACUGAAGAUUCCAAACGCCACUGCUUUCUUGUGACUACAUGAUUCCCAAGCAUCUCCGAAUCUUCGAAUCCAGAAUGUACCUUCACACCAACCAUGCAUGCAUAAUUUUUUAUUUUUUAAUUACAAAUAUUAGCAUAUUGGGCUUCCCACCUUUACAUUUAGGCCUAAUCCAAAUGUGACUCUUUUAUUUAACCUAAUAUCGGCCCACUCCAAAAUUAGGUUUAUUUAUACAAAUGUAAGGAGCCGUUAUCCAGUGGACCCCGCGCAAGACUCAUAAACACUAAUAAUAAAUUUAGUAGUUGUAUUUGUAAAUACUAUCAACCGCUACAUUGCAAAAUCACAUGGUUCAAUAAUUACCUGCUUCCAUUUUUUUUAAUUUUUUUUAAUCAAUGUAUAUAUUAUCUGUGUGAUGAUUGUUUUUAUUAUGAAUUAAUUAGCAUUCAAUGAUCAUAUAAACAAAUAAUGUAGAUUAAACGAUGGAACUAAUACGUACAGGAUAUAUAUAUCGAUGAGUUUGUAGAGAAUAAGUAGACAAAAUUAUGAAUGGAAGAAGCAGUGUUUUUGUUUGUUACCGUAAGCAGCUAACUGAGAGGAGUAGGAAGAACAGAGUUUUGGCACCAUGAAAACUCCAAAAAAACCUGUCACCAACAAACGAAAUUUGUGAAAUUAUACUUAUAUAUUGUGUUUGUGUAUGUGUAUGUAUUUUUUUUAGGGGUUAUGGCAAAAAAAAUACACGAAGUUUGGAAAAAAGUUGUAAUUUUCACCUGAAUUUUCAAUUAGGCCAAAAAAAUAUACAUGAAUUUAUAUUUUUGUUGCAAUUUUCACAUGAGUUUGAUUUUUGGCGAAAUUAGAGCUUAGUUGGCAGUCGGACUAUCACUUAAUGUUGGUCUAACUUCUGAUGACGAGGAGUAUUUAGAAGCUCGGAGAUCUAAAAAUGCAUAAAUUAAUAUAUUUGAUUUAAUUUCGACUGUCAACUAAGCUUAGUUAGACUAAUUUUGUUGAAAGUCAAAUUUAGGUGAAAAUUGCAUUUUUUUCAAAAUUAAUGUAUUUUUUGCAAUAACCCCUUAUUUUUAAAUGUGGGGGGUUUUUAUCUGUUUAAUUUUUAAAAAAGAAAAAAGACCAACCUAAUUUUGUCAUUUUCCAGAUGGUUAUGGAGCCUCCACAUCUUGCUAAAAUAAACAGCAAAACUGCCAACUGCAACAGACAUAAGUUGACAUUUUCCCCAAUUUGAGAGGAAUUAAGGAUUCUAGAGUUUGAGCUUCAAAACGUUUCUCAACAAAUAAACUUGUUAUACCUUCAUUGUGGUGGCUGGAUCUCCAGAAAAAAGGCUUCUCAAUUUGGAUAGAAACUCAUUUACAUAAGGCAAAACCAGUUUUAUAAGCCAAACAGCUUCUUCCUCUCCAACAACAUAUUCUUCAUCUCUGCUAUCAAUAUCCACAUUUUCCCUACCAAUUUCCAAUAUAAUCUUUAAAAAAUUAUACUCAACAGAUAUGGUACAAAAAUGGUGUCAUAUUUUAAGUAGUUUUACCUGCUUAUGAUGGAUCUCAAGAUAAAACUUGCAGCAAGAUACACAAGGCCUAAGUAGGAAAGCACAGAGAUACAGCUGCAAAUUGAUCAGAAGAAGAAAAUAAAUAAAUUAAAAAGUCACAUAAUUUGCAUGAAUUUUUGCUGCGUAAAUUUCAUUAUUGAGGAAUCUACAAUCUCACCUGAUAUUGAGAUCUUUCGUGUAUGAAGAGGAAAUUAUGGCAAAUGCUCCAACCCCAAAUACAAAUGCUGAUCUUGAUGCAUCUCUCCACAUUAUUAGAUCAGCUGAAAAUGAAAAUAGGCAAUGAGAAUUGAGAAGUAAUUUAGUGCAUUUGGAAAGUGAUAGGAUCAAACUCACCAAAACUCUCAAGUCUGCUUGAAGUUCCAUGGUGAUGAUGAUCUGGAACUGGUAACAACAGAUUGAUUAAUAUAUUUAAUUAAGCAGCAGCGAGAAAUGUUGAAUUACAAGUAGUGAUUACUUGGAUUGAUUUUUUGUUGAAUUCUCGCCGGAGCUAUCUCUUCCACAGUAGGUGGCGGCGAUCUAUCGUUGCUGUGAAGCAAUUUCUUCUCUUCACUCACAAGUUUUUCCUCUGCCUCUUCCUCUUCCUCUUCCUCAAGAUGAUGAUCUUCAUUGUUUGUGGUGAUGGCCUCAUCUGCUUCGUGUCUCGAUUUGAUAAUCCCGACAUCUUCUUCAUUCAAAUCGGCAACCACUAUUUCAUCAUUGGUUGUGUGUUGAUCGACAUCGAGUGGCACUUGAUGGUCAGAACCGGAUUUGAUUUUCCUUAACUUGAGCGUGUUAAUCUCAUCAGCAACAGUGGUGGUUGCGGCGGAUCUGGUUCUCUUGAUCUGAGGCGGACUUUUCCUGAUGAUGCCGAAAUCAGAUCUCUUGUUCGUGGCACUCGUUGGGCUCUGUUUGUCUACCUGAAUCUCUGCAUUGCUCAUUCUACUACUUCUGCUGCGAAUCUUUACUGUGUUGACGUCUGCAGUUUUGACCAUCAUUUUGCUCUCCCAAACAGGCCCUGCUUUUCUAGCUCUGCCUUUUUUAGCGCUGCCAUCCAAAUCCAAUGCUUCUUUGCUACUCAUUUCACUCUCUGUUUCCUUUAAGUGCUGUGCCCUAUUUAUUGUGACUUUGAAUCCAAGGUUUUGUAGUGGUGGUGGUUGUGAUGAAAGUCAUGCACUCCCACAAAGAGAGAGAGAGAGAGAGCUUUGAAUGCUGCUGCCUCUCUUUUGCUUUCCACUUUUCUUCUUUUUUAGAUAUAGUAUUACUUUAGAUGUUGCAGAUACAAGUUUGUUAGUGUUGGUUGUGUGUCGUUAUGUUAGAGAUUCUAGUGUCACCUAACCUUUCAAAUUGUGACAUUAUAAUAUUCAAUUUGUUUAGUUAGUUCCCAAAAAUUUAACGUGUUUAGUGGCUUAAAAUAAUGUUUUGUGACCCGCAAUGUACGUAGCCCAAAAGUAGAGGUGGAUAAGGGUGGUGGGUCAAUAAUGAUUGGUUUGCAAGAAAAUUAGGGACCAUCUUAUAGUCAACUUUUUCAUUUACUUUUGUUAUAUGAAACCACAUGCACAUGCUGCAUUAUUUUUCAUUUUUUUAUUUUUAUUUUCUACUUUUUUUCCCGAUAAAUUAACAGUAUCAAAUAAAAAAAUUUAAAAAUCGCGCCACAAGGGACUCGAACUCAAGACCUUUGGCAUUAGACAUUAACCCCUUACCUGCUAACACACGCCCACUUUAUUUUCUACUUUGUUCUUGGAUAGGUGCACCUAUUUAGCAUUACAGCAAAAGCCAAUUUCUCAGGAGCCCCUCAUCUCCCUCUACAAACACACACACACACACACACAAUUCAUGUGACAGGCAUUAAUUUCGUGUAGAAGGUAAUGCUCAAAUCAUAUUUAAACAUAAGUGUCCACACUGACAUCAAUGUUACACCAACUUCCUAAUAAGUACUUCUAUUUUUAAAUUUUAUAAAAACAAAUAGUAUAUCAAAUUCCUCAUUUUACUAUUGUCCACAAUAGAUUCUUUCAUUAAAGAGUAAAAAGCAGUGUUAUUUAUUGAAGAAAAAACCAUGUCACAAAAUUACUUCCGAGGAAAGUUUGGCUUCUUGUCCCCAGUGACACGCACCGAAUUUCAGCAUAAUAAUUGAAAUGAUUGACUUCUAUACCACAAAUAAGAAUAAUAGUAAAUGUCAGAUUAUUAAUAAAUAAAGGAGACAUGUUACAGUGCAUCCGGAAUUUUAAUUAUAAUUAAUAAAUCAUAAUUCAACAUUGGUGAACUCUAAUUAGAGUUAAUACAAAGAGCUAAAUUUUAUUUCAAGAUGAUACUUUUGAAGGAGAUGACUAUACAACGUAUUUGAGAUAACCAACUAUAUCCCCCCAAAAAAGAUUUGUGUGAGAAGAUAUCUCAUAUUUUGAGAGGCCUAAAAGAUACAUACAACGUUGACCAGGAACAAAAAAGUCUCAUUCUUCGGAAAUUCCGACAUGAACUGAGUUGAGGAGUCGGAUGAAAAUCUCUUUCUCCAAUUAUAAAGAGAUAAAAGAGAGCAGAGAGUUCAACUCACCUGACAUCGAGAGCCGGGAGUGUCAUCGUAUUUCAUCAUGAAGUUCUUCUGCACCGGAUGUCCAACAGAGGAAUAGGCGAUCAUCGGGCGACUGGCCAGCAAGGCGGACUGUUUAGUUCCAGAAAGAUCGUUUCAGCCAUCCCCGAACGCCCGCUCACGGAACUGCUUCAGUAGAAUCUGGUUCCAGUUAGUUGACGCUUUUGACUUGCGACUGUAACAAAUGCCCGGUAUCUGAGGCGUUCAUCUUCGUAAGUUCCGCCGCUUCUUUCUCUGCCUUCUUUUUCUCGAACUCUAACUGCUUGCAGUUUUCCUCAUGGGAUUGCUUGAACAUCUUUACGAAGUUAAAGAGAGUCGAGAUCACUGCCACAGUAAUGCAAAACAAACAUGAGAGUGUGUUGUGAUACUGUCUAUAAGCAUAUUCGCAGUAGAACAAAUGCUCCACGACAUGCUAUUUUGUCACCGAGACUGAGUGAAACAUAGUAUGUCACAGGAUUCUAGAAGGUAGAAUGUAGCUAACGGCACACCAACCACAUUAUCAACAAUUUGGUAGUCCUACGAUAAAAUAAUACACCACUGUAAGACAGUAGGGAAUUGAGAACCACCUUGCUCAAAUUGGCAACGCGCUGGAUCUUCCCCAAAAUAAAGGAUCAGUGAGUCUACAUUCCUACCCUGCAGUCAGAAAGAGAUACACACCCUUAAAAAGGAUUACUGAGAGAAACAUUAUAAAAAUACGCCUACUAGCCGUUGAUGGUAAUGGCAGGGGCACGUACCACUGUUGCAUAAAGUGAAGCCAGUGUCCUUACUUCACCUUCAGAAAAACAAAGGAACUCCUUCAGCGCCUGGAAGGGAAAAAAGAAAAAGAAGAAGAACUAUUACAUCACAAUUGCCUAAGAACAUACGAACCAAUCUUCAUACACACAUGGGGAUACAUAUAGGGUGCGGUUCUACCGAGAACCACAAUUUUCGUGAGAACAUGAGAACCAUUAAAAUUACUGCAUCUGCUAUACAAAUUAAUGCAUCCGCUACUAAAUUUACUGCAUUCGAAAAAAAUAAAAUUUUUUCUCCCUUUAGGAUUCGAACCCAGGUUCUUCAUUCAUCCACUAAGACGAUGCAUCCACUGUAGAUCUUGAUGAUCGAAUGGUUUAAAAUGGUUCUUCGUUAUUAUUUUAUUUAGUGGUUCUUAUUUGAACCUCUCCCUCUAUAGGGUAUAUAACGUAAAUGCUUUAAUAUAUAAAGUAACACUAUUAUAGAACCCACACAUGAUUUGAGACAAAAGAUCAAUGCUUUCCCUCCACUCUUCUCCACAAACUCAAAGCUUCCCCAAAACCAAAUCUACAAACUUAAUAAACUCCAAUAUUGAAAUGCUAAAUAAUAUCAUAGGGAAGAAACCAAAGAAACGAAAAUAGAUAUACAUAUACACAAUGGUUCAAAAUUACAAACCUAAGGGCUAAAAACUAAAUUAUUUCUUGUGGAUAGAAGCAAGCACCAAGAUCCAUAUUGGUAGGGUUUAGGAAGUACCUGGCAAAAGUGAUCAGACACUGGGCCAUCACUUUCUGCCAUGGACAACUCUUGCAUAACUUUUUCAAGUCCUUUGUUAAUAGCUUGCAUCUCCUCAGCCAAAAAUUUCAGUUGUAUCUGGAAAAGGAUUCUUCGUCCAUUAAGCAAGCCACUUGGACAUUAUUCAAGUCACAAAAGAUCAUUUGAAUGCACAACAAAAAAUCAUAUAAGCAUACCUUUGAUGCAAGUUCCAGGCUGGAGAGGUCAUUCCAAAAAUCAAGAAGCUCCGGCAAUUUGUCCGAAAGAACCUGGAUGGAAAAAUGAUGAAAAACAUAAGUGAUGAUAUUUAGGAGUCAAGACUGAAGUCUUGACUAGCAUUAUUGGAAUACUCUAUAAUUAGGGUAUUACUCGCAAAGCAAAGUUGAAUGAAGUGGAGGAAGAUUUACAAUUUGUGGGCCCGUGACUAACAUAAUUUUAUUAUUGUGUCCCAAUUGCACGUUAAAAAACCUUCAAAUGUUAUGCAGUGCUCUGCUUUGCACUACAUUUAUCAGUGGAAUGACUGAAACAUUAUCUGAAGCAGAUUUGGCAGGCUCAGUAGCAAUGAACCUUUCCAAUUGUACUAAAAUCUAAGUAGCAAUGCAAGUACAUGGUUAAUAUGAUUCACUACGAAACAGAGAGAUGUUAAAUGUACCUUGCACAAAUAAUGCAUCAGGGUCAUCUUAUUAUUCCGGGCACGAGUCUCAGUAAGUUUAAGGAGGCUAUCCAACCUGAACCCCACAGCAGAUCCUGAGAUAAUAAUAGCAUUGGAAGAAAGUAAGAACUGAAGAAACAAUGAGGCAUUAUUACAAAAGAGAAGGUUCUUUGCAACUGUAUGUAACUACUGUCUUGGUAUACGAGACCAAAAAUGCUUCUUUCAGCCCACAUAUUGAACCUAAUGGUACCCCAGACUACCCGAAAUAAUGGGAGAGUGGGAGUGUGAGUCAUGGGGUUUUCCUUCAGGCAGCCAGUGUCCUACCAUGUAUUAUCCUAUAUAUAUUUAGCUCACAUAUAGUUUUAACAUUUUUUUCUAUUUAACAUUCCGCCUCACGGGCAACUACAAAUUUAAUGAACACCACUUAUAUUAUAUACGACACUAUUAUCUUCAUAUUCUUAAGUUUUUCUCUGCCAUUCGAAUUUCUGGAUCGUUAAUGCAUAGAAGUGACACACAGUUAGUCAGCUUCUGUACCCCCCAUCCCUACCAAAUCUUGGUGUAUCCAAAAAUGGAGUUACAGCUAUCAAAAAGAUAAUCAGAUAAUCUUUCUACUUUAUUCUUAAAAACAUGUAACAGAUUUUUUUCGAAAACACUGCAAAUAACGCUAUGUACGAUUUGUAGCCUUUUUCAUUGCAAGACUAAAAUAAUGUUAUAGACCUUUAGUGUCUAUCAUGUCUCUUUCCACCAAGGAACAACAAAUAAUGCGUUGCUCCUGGGGCUUUCCAACAAGACAAUAAGAAACUUCCUUUGUAUGGCUUGUGCACACAGUGCCAAAGCAGGAAGAAAAAAAAUGCACACACACAACAGCAUGACUUGCCAGAUGAGAGAUCAAUGGAUCUUACAAAGGUGGCAUCAGUUCAUCUUCUCAUGAACCGAAAAUUCCUACUCUUUGAUUGCUUAACUACAGUAAUUCAAGUGUUAAUGUCUGCGAGUGAUCUUAUGGAAUUAAAGAACAGCUUUCAUAUUUAGGUUUUUAACUUAGUGUGUGAAAGUAAUACUAAUGAACAAAUUAAUAAAGUUGGCAUAAGGAAAGAGAUGAGGCUAGUCAAAUUUAAAAUACCAGAUGAACAUGUUUACACACCUCUAGCAGUUCCCUGGUUUAAAGCAUUACCCAGAGAAAGAAUUGUUUGCAUGAUUCUUUUCAACUUAGCAGAACCCCUGAUCUGAUGAGAACAUGAUAUGACGAUUAAUAAGGCAGCAUAUUUACAGGCUUGCAAAUUGAUAAUGAAAAUUAACAAAUAGAAAAUCAAGUUGCCUGAUCUGAAGCAGAAUUCACAACAUUCAAACUAUUCCUGAGGUCAGAAACCUGAGGACAAAAAAUGAAAAGAAUAAACAUCAUAGAUGAAGGUCAACACAAUAUGGAAAAUUGGUAAGUUAUAUACUGAUUUCUGACCUGGGAGCGAAACUGAAUCUUAAACGAAUAAACUCUCAACUUAUGUUCUAUUCGUGGCACUUGCAUCAACUCCAAAAAGAACUGAGAUUACAAAGAAAAAGACCAUCAUAAUAGAAUCAGUAUAAAACAAAAAAGACCAAAAGAAAAGGCGACCAAUCUAAUGCUACGGACCUGUUCGCAUUUGCCUAAAUUAUCUUUCUCACCUUUGUAGCCCUAGAAAUAGAAAAAUCUGAUUAGAAUAUCCAAUAAUGAACAAAGACUGGCGCCUAACCAACCACAGUCCAUUCAGGAGCCCUCAUAUGUAAAACGAAAAAUGAGAAUGUUAAAGCACCACCUUUAGAACUUCCAUCUCCUCUUUAGUUGGACAAAACUUGAUUAGGUUAUCAACCUGAUCUACAUCUAAUGCAGAAUCUUCCAAGGAAAGUACUGAACUCUGCAUAAAUACCACAGAUUUCAGAAAUUAUUGGAACCAACCAUUAAGGAAGAUACGUGUAUGAGUCUACAGAAAUUUUGUAACUACAAAUCAUGCAAGGAGUCUACAAGGUGUGCAGUGCAUAAAAAAUACUCAUAGCUGAAAGGGGCAACAUGAAGCAUGUCAAUUUAGGUGUCAGAAACUUGAGAGAGUAAAAUAACUUGGAAUAGUUUCAUUUCCCCUCAUGUUACCAGAUUCAAGCUGACAAAAUCAGUAACCACCAUCAUGUAAAGAAGAUGUGCAGUAAAUGGGACAUGAAUAUGAACAUGAUACAAGCAACAUGUAAAUGUGAUUCAAGCAACAUAAGACAUGAAUUUGAGAUUCAGACGCUUCAAAAGUACAAAAACGAGAGAUUUCAUUUCUGCAACUGCAACUAAUUGAGCCUACAAGUUAAGCCAUCAUCAGAAUUGCUCUCUCAUGUACUCAGUUCUGACAUAAGAUGUAUAUAUUUUAAAUAUACCUUAGGUUUGAAAAUUACAAUUUUGAUCCUCUAAGCCUACCUUCUAACAGCAUUUAGAGCCAUUCAAAAUAUGCAACUCCAUCAGCAAGUUAGAAGAGACUGUACUUGUCAAAAUGGAAUGUUUAAAAAUAAUCCUGAUAGGGAUUGAACUAGAGCGCCUUGAAAUAGGCAACCCUUAAAUUCGCCGGAAAUGCUUUUAUGGAAUCACAAAACCAAAUGCUGGAAAUAAAAUUAUAUAAAAUCACCUAAAAUAGUCCUCAAAAAGUGAACUUUAAACAACCUAAAAUCACCCUUCAAGAAAGAAAAAAUUGUAACAUGAGAAAGAGACUUCAAAAAGUGAGGUCUCUUAGAUAUGAAAAGCACAAAAUAUUCUUUUUUUUCUUUUCUUAUGAAGCUAAAGAUUUCUUUCAGUCAUUAUUUUCACAAAGAAACUCACAUCCGAGUAAAUAUUAGAUGGAUUAUUUAGUAAUUUACAAUGAUGGGCUGGAAUUGGUAGCAUGCUGCCUACGGCCUCCAUCACAGCAAAGCUAAGAAAUACGUAAAUGUAAUUCUUGAAAAUGAUUUAUAAAAGGUGUAAGUUCUAGCUCACCAGCAUAUCUUGCAACGGUAUCUUCACUUUUGACAGCAUUAUUUCACAAUUGUAUGCACGCCUGUGUUCUAUCUGCAACACCAGAGCAGAAAUGGUUACAGCAAGUCCAAUCCUGUAAGGGAACCAUACUUGCGACCACCAAGUCACAAGGUCAAAACUGAUUAGUUAAAGAUGUGUCUACAUUCAUUUAUGAAUUUUCAUACCAAAACAAAACAAAUUUUGGAAUAGAAUCCUGGGAGAGUUCAGAAGGCACAAACAAAUCAGAUUUUAGAAUUGAUAAGUACUAAUAGUCAACAAUUAAUAAUCACCAAUUGCACUUUUUCAGGUUUAUUGCUCAUUGAAGCUAGUGAACCAGUUUUUCUGCCCCCAUCUUGAUUCGGAACUGCUGCUGAGAAGAGAGAUUCAAGUUCUGAAAUAUCAAUCUCUGGCGCCCUAACACAUGAAAAAAUGUAAAUGAGCAGGAAAAAUAUGGAUAAUAGGAAAAUCUGCAAAUACACCUACAACAUAUAUGAAAGAAUAGGACUUUCCACCUCAGCCCUGGUUAUACUUACUUAGAAGCUUCACCACAUUUUUGAGUCUCAGCCCACAAGCUUCCUGAAACAGCUUUUGAUAUUUUUAGCCAAUGCAAUGGCUUCAACUUUUUCAUUUGGUUAUUUCUUGAAGCCAUAGUACGGGACAACAAAGAUUUCCCUUUUGUUCCAGGUGGAGGGGCCAAAGGUGGUGGAGGAGAUGGAGCUCCAGGCAAACUGCCACCACUCGAACUAGCAGGACCAUUUGUAGAAUGAGGCGGAGGAGGUGCUGAAGGAACAGUAGAAGAACUUUUGGUGGCAGGGGCAGGAGGAGGUGGUGGUGGAGGUACAUUUGGUAGAUUUCUAGGUCCCGCAGGAUGUGGAGGAGGUGGAGGAGGAACUGGAGGCCCUCCUCCACCAGAUAUCUCUUUAGGAAGUUGAGGGGGAGGUGGGGGGCAAGGUACAGAUGUUACACUCGAAUUAUCCCCUAUAGCUGGGGUUAAGAGAGAUGCAUCAACCCCAGAAUGUGGAGUAGGCUCUCCUCCACUAGAACUCUCCUUAGAAGGUGGAGGAGGAGGAGGACAUGGAGUAGGUCUCGAAACCAAAUCCUCCUUCACAGGAUGACUUAAAGGAGGUGGAAGCACAGGUUUCGGAGCAUAAUCCUUCCUUAAAGGUGAAACUGAUGGGGGCAUCUGUGGUGGAGGUGGAGGUGGAGGUGGAGGUGACGAAAAAAAGAUCUCCUCAGUAACAGAUGAACUAUCGCAAGGAAGGGUUGGUGAAGGUGGAAAAGAUGCAGGUGCUUUAGCCAUUUUUUCUGUUGAAUAUGGGGUAAAGCUUGGAGGUCGAGGUGCUGAGUCUUCUGUUGAAUGAGAGGAGGGAGAGGGAAGAGGUGCAGGUUGGGCUGGACGACAUAUAAAAGCUGAAUUAUCCUCAGUAGGAGCUGCAUGUCGAUCUGACAGAAGUGGUGGUUGAGGUGGAGUAGGAGGAGUUCCAACUUUAGGGGCUUCGGUCAAAUCUUCAGCUGAAAAUGCUGAUGAAAGAAGAGAUUCAGAUUUAGGAAGUCCAUCCUCUAUGCUACUAUCAUGAUUCUUUGAACGUUCUGUAUGAGGAGAAGUACCAGGCUUAAAUAUAUUGUCAUCCCUUAAAGGGCGACCACAGGCGGUCUCUGGGGGCAGAAGUGGGAGAGAAGGAACUGAACUUAUAGAGCUGAUUUUAUCCUCUGAAGAGGUAAAGGGUAAUGUUUGUCGAAAUAGAGAAGGUCCAAAGAAACCUGCAUCUCUUGCCAACUGAGAUGGAGCACUUGAUGGUUCCUUGGGUUCACUUCGAGGAGAAACAUCUUUGGCCUCAGUCAUAGUACCCGGUUGAGCCUUAGUUUCAUAUUGUUGUCUGGGUGACAAAUGAAGUGUUUUUGUUAUAGAAAAUUGAUGAUGUGGUGAAGUUGAUGAGGGUGGAGAAUGAUCUCCAGGAGGGAUUUGCAUUAGCUUUGAGGAUAUGCUGGCCCUAAUUUCAGUCGGUGAAAACUUGUGGUCAGCCUGAAUCCUAGCCAUGUCAGCAUUUGGGGAAAAUUUUGGUGAUAAACCAGAUUGGUUCCCAGAACUUGGACUUUUUGAGCUCUUAGCGAGAGCCUUGAGAAUUUCAACUCCAGAAUCUCCUUUCGGGACUAACCAAUCCACACUACUAAACAUUUCCCGAACUUUAGCAAAGGCCUCCUCUGGAAGGCCAUCAUCCUUCUCCUCAAAGCAGGAAGAGUCUUCACGAACCAGGGAAGCAAUAGUGUCCGUCUCCGAGAAAAGAACCUUCAUUGAUAUACUAGUCAUAAUUGGAUACACCCUCAUAGAGUGUGUGAGCAUCAUAAAUAGCAGUAUAGCACCAUUUAGGAAAAAGCGUACCUCCGACCUGAAGUCCUUUGGAAACUGAUCCUUUGCAUUCCAUAAAAUGUCAAUAUCAUCCUUAUUGAGCAUUAAAAUAUUUGACCUUAUAAAAGCAGUGUUAAACAUGACACGAAACAUCAUCUCUUCCCGCUCCAUGUCAUCAUUCAAGCUGAUACAUUCCAGCACAACAUCACCUUGAACGUGGCAAUUGAUGUCAACUUUUACUAUUUCAGAUUCACCCUGAUAAUAACCAGAAACCAUGAGGAUGAAGAACUUCAUGAUUUUGGGAAGGUAGCAUCUGAACAAAGUCUAUAUACUUGCAGAUGUGCAGGGACCAUUCAGAAAAGAAACAGUGGCUAUGUAAAUGAAGCACAACUUGUACAUAUUAUAGAGCAGGGACAGAAUGAAGGGGAUACGAAAGAGAUUCCAGGGAGAAUCACCAUUGACUUCAGUGAGAGAAAAUUAAAGCUGUCACAACUACAAAUUAUUUAUAGAAGUUAGAAAAUAGAUGGUACUACAGGAUGCGGCAUCAAACUUGCAAAGAGUCACAGUCCAUUACAUCGGAAAAGCAUAGAAAAUAAACUCAGGCAACCAUAGAUGUUUUUUAACACAAUUGAAGUAUUACAAAACUAGUGUCAUUCAUCAUACUGCAGACGUGAUCCAGAACCAUCCUUUUUGGAAAUCUUACCCACUCCAAAUCCGUCUUCCAUUUUUUCUACAAUGCAUGACAGGAACAGGCAGAAAGGAAGCAAAAAAUUAUUCUCCCUGAUUCCUUGCUAGACACAGGUCAUAAUUCUAAUCUCCCUUUCACUCCAUUUUGAUUCGUUUUUAAUCUGAACAAUAAUUUUAAUAGAUUCAAAUUUCUAACAAAUAUGAAACAAGUAAAUAGAUUGGUAACAGAUCGAUAAAAAACUAAAGCCUUUAUAUUCGAUUUUUUUCAAAAAGUCAUUCCAAAUCACGAAUUAUUGCUUUUGUGUUAGUUAAUUAUAUUUGAAUUACUUGUUUUAAAGAUUUCUUAUUGACAAGCUUUAGAAAUAGCACCUAUUAAAAAGACUAAAAGGAUUAUUGAAAUGAGUUCAAGUGGAAGGAAAAAAAAA